GACGAACGCUGGCGGCGUGCUUAACACAUGCAAGUCGAACGGAAAGGCCCUGCUUUUGUGGGGUGCUCGAGUGGCGAACGGGUGAGUAACACGUGAGUAACCUGCCCUUGACUUUGGGAUAACUUCAGGAAACUGGGGCUAAUACCGGAUAGGAGCUCCUGCUGCAUGGUGGGGGUUGGAACGUUUCGGCGGGUGGGGAUGGAAUCGCGGCUUAUCAGCUUGUUGGUGGGGUAGUGGCUUACCAAGGCUUUGACGGGUAGCCGGCCUGAGAGGGUGACCGGCCACAUUGGGACUGAGGUGCGGCGCAGAAUCCUACGGGAGGCAGCAGUGGGGAAGAUUGCACAAUGGGCGGAAGCCUGAUGCAGCAACGCCGCGUGCGGGAUGACGGCCUUCGGGUUGUAAACCGCUUUCGCCUGUGACGAAGCGUGAGUGACGGUAAUGGGUAAAGAAGCACCGGCUAACUACGUG
Molecule: ribosomal RNA, 468 nt
Filed under: uncultured bacterium
Lineage: Bacteria
Description: partial 16S ribosomal RNA
Rfam family: Bacterial small subunit ribosomal RNA
Source: RNAcentral